AACAACGCUGGCGGCGUGCCUAACACAUGCAAGUCGAACGAGAAAGUCGGCUUCGGCCGAUGAGUACAGUGGCGCACGGGUGAGUAGCGCGUGGGUAAUCUGCCCCCCGGUCAGGAAUAACCCGCCGAAAGGCGGGCUAAUACCCGAUAACACUGACGCUCCGCGGAGCGUCUUUCAAAGGAGGCCUCUGUUUACAAGCUUUCGCCGGAGGAUGAGCCCGCGUACCAUUAGCUAGUUGGCAGGGUAAUGGCCUACCAAGGCUGCGAUGGUUAGCUGGUCUGAGAGGAUGGCCAGCCACACUGGAACUGAGACACGGUCCAGACUCCUACGGGAGGCAGCAGUGAGGAAUCUUGCGCAAUGGGGGAAACCCUGACGCAGCAACGCCGCGUGAGUGAGGAAGGCCUUCGGGUCGUAAAGCUCUGUCAGAUGGGAAGAAAUGGGUGGGGGCUAAUAUCGCCCAUCCUUGACGGUACCAUCAGAGGAAGCACCGGCUAACUCCGUG
This 502-nucleotide ribosomal RNA is filed under the name uncultured bacterium. Its description in RNAcentral is "bacterial SSU rRNA". It matches the Rfam family "Bacterial small subunit ribosomal RNA", at positions 32 to 507 of the family's 1533-position model. The record is from RNAcentral.